RNAcentral lists this small RNA (842 nucleotides) under Rattus norvegicus (Norway rat). Its description in RNAcentral is "uncharacterized LOC102553133". Lineage: Eukaryota; Metazoa; Chordata; Mammalia; Rodentia; Muridae. The record is from RNAcentral.
CUAUCAUGGCUGUUCUCUGAGAGUUUCCAUCCACCAAUUGACUUAGGCAGAUGAAACCGCCAAAGAUUGGAUGGAACUUGAGGAUUCUUAUGGAAGAAUAGGAUGAGGAUUGCACUCCCUAAGGGGAUAGGAACUCCACAGAAUGACCAACAGAGUCAACAAACCUGGACCCUUGGAGCUCUCAAAGACUAAACCACCAGCCAACGAACAUAAAGAGGAUGAACCUAGGACUCCCCUCAUAUUUGUAGCAGAUGCACAGCUUGUUCUCCAUGUGGGUUCCAAACAACUGGAAUGGGGGUUAUCUCAAAAGCAUUUGGCUGUAUUUGGAACAUGUUCUUCUAUCUGGGUUGCCUUGUCUAACCUUAGUGGGAAAGCACUAAGCACCUAGCUUCACGGAGACUUGAAGUUACAAGUCUAUCACACAAUCAAAUCCAAGAGCUGUUCCCACAGAAGGAUACAGAAAGAUACAUUGGGGAAAUUUAAAAAUCAUAUAGUGACCUGCUACACAUGAUGAAAUUCAGCUACAUUCAAGAGAGAACCAGAACUCUGAAGCUGGUCUCUGGCAGACAGGGGCACAACAGAGAGCUUAUCCUGGUGUCCCAGUUGGUUCUGGUCACUCCCACUGACUCAUGUCAACUCAGUGGAGGCCUGGCUGUUGCUGCUGGAUCACAUCACCACUGCUGAUUCAUGUGUGGUAUCCUGACACCACUAAAUUGGACUGCUGGUGUCCCAAGAACAGAGAUUGGAAUCAUCCCAAAUAACUACUUCUAAACAGGUCCACAUCCCCUUGUCCUAUUUAGCAUCUUUUCUUUCCUACCUUGGAUGAUGGGCUGGUGUGGGUG